Molecule: ribosomal RNA, 1496 nt
Filed under: uncultured bacterium
Lineage: Bacteria
Description: bacterial SSU rRNA
Rfam family: Bacterial small subunit ribosomal RNA
Source: RNAcentral
GACGAACCCUUGGCUGACGUCUUCCUCAUGCGCUUCCCACCAGAACCCUCGGGCUUCUGCCGGGGCAAAUACCGUGGCUGACCGGUGCCUAUCGCUUAAAUAACCUGCCCUCCAGCGCGGGACAAAUCACAGCAAACCGUGGCUAAUACACUGCACGUACUUCUGGACCCCCCAUGGGGACCAAAUGAAAUCUUGGAGUUACCCACGCGCCUUUGGAUGGGUCUGCGUUGGAUUAUCCUUGCUUCGGUGAGGCAACUAGCUCACCAUAGCGACCAUCCAUACCUGGUCUGACACGACGAUCUACCGCCCUGGAUACAUGAUACACUGCCCACCACUCCUACUGGAGGCAGCAGCUGGGGAAUCUUGCACAAUGGGGUCACCCCUGAUGCAGGCCAUGCCGCGUGGAGGAAGACACCCCUAUGGGGCGUAAACUCCUUUUCUCAACAAACAAACCCAUGAAGGUUCUGGGCGCGACCGUAAUUCACGAAUAAGCACAAGCUAACUCUCUGCACCCAUCCUCUGUAAUACGAACGGUGCUAGCGUUGUCCGGAAUCACUGGUAGUAAAGCGUCUGCUGCCGGCGCAGCAGGUGCGAUCUGACACCUCAUGGGUUAUCCACGGAGUGACUUUCGACACUGUUGUCAUGAGUCCACGAGUGGCUGUCGGACUGCGCGGUGUAGCGGGCAAAUGCGUAGAUUCAUCGAGGACGACCAGAGGCGAAAGCGGGCAGCUUGACGUGUACUGACGAUCAGGCAGGACAGCGUGGUGAGCAACCAGGAUUAGAUACGCUGUUAGUUCACGCGGUAAUCGAUGAACGCUCGCAGUUGCCCCGCUCACGGGGAUGUGGGUAAGCUUAUGCGUUAAGCGUUCCACAUGGGGAGUACGAUACCAAGGUUGAAACUCAAAGGAAUUGACGGUGGCCCGCACAAGCGGUCGAGCACGCGGUUCAAUUCGAUGCAACGCGAAGAACGUUACCUCGGUUCGAACGAUAGAGGACCGCUCCUGAAAGGGAGCUUCCCCUUUGGCGCGUCUAGCGAGGUAGCCCAUGGCUGUCGUCAGUUUGUGUCGUGAGAUAAUGGGUUAAGUCCCGCAACGAGCGUAACCCUUCUUGCUAGUUACCAUCGUGUAGUGCAGGGGACUCUAGCGAAAUCGCCCGCGCAAGCAGUGAGGAAGGUGGGGAUGAGGUCAAGUCAUCAUGGUCGUUACACCUAGGGCUGCACACGUGUUACAAUGGCCGCUACAACGGGUAGCCACCUCGCGAGAGGGAGAGAAUCCCGGAAAACCGGUCCCAGUUCGGAUGGAGCUCCGCAACUCGACUCCAUGAAGCAGGAAUGGCCAGUAAUCGCGGAUCUAGCAACGCCCGCGGUGAAUCCGUUCCCGGGCGCUGUACACACCGCCAUUCAAGCCAUAGAAGCCGAUAGCACCCGAAGUCCGCGACUCAAGUCGGCCCAUGCGCCGGAGGGAGAGCGGCCGAAGGAGACUUCAGCGACGGGGGCG